RNAcentral lists this ribosomal RNA (207 nucleotides) under uncultured bacterium. Its description in RNAcentral is "partial 16S ribosomal RNA". It matches the Rfam family "Bacterial small subunit ribosomal RNA", at positions 568 to 774 of the family's 1533-position model. The record is from RNAcentral.
CUCGUAGGCGGUUUGUCACGUCGGGAGUGAAAACCAGGUGCUUAACACCUGGCCUGCUUCCGAUACGGGCAGACUUGAGGUAUGCAGGGGAGAAUGGAAUUCCUGGUGUAGCGGUGAAAUGCGCAGAUAUCAGGAGGAACACCGGUGGCGAAGGCGGUUCUCUGGGCAUUACCUGACGCUGAGGAGCGAAAGUGUGGGGAGCGAACA